AAAGAAUUAGUUAAAAAAUAACAUAAAUAUGUCAAAUUUAAAUAAUUAUUAUAAAAUAAUAUUCUUUU
This 68-nucleotide transfer RNA is filed under the name Iotaphora admirabilis. RNAcentral describes it as "tRNA-Asp". Lineage: Eukaryota; Metazoa; Arthropoda; Insecta; Lepidoptera; Geometridae. The record is from RNAcentral.